RNAcentral lists this long non-coding RNA (1201 nucleotides) under Prunus dulcis (almond). Its description in RNAcentral is "sRNA ncRNA". Lineage: Eukaryota; Viridiplantae; Streptophyta; Magnoliopsida; Rosales; Rosaceae. The record is from RNAcentral.
UACCUUUCUAAAUCUAACGCCAGUGCCACACAUCACAUGUUGUGAUUGAAUCUCUCUCUCUCUCUCUCUCUCUCUCUCUAUUCUCUCUUGUCAACCCAAGAGAGAAAACAAGGGCUUCACCCAUCACCAACAAGUUUUCAAGGUAUGCAAAAAGCGCUGAACUUUGAUCUUCUUUUUCUUUUUGAUGCAAUUGGGUUGUCAUGUUUUGGAUUAAUAUUCACGAAUUCUUGGUCUUAUUUUUUUAUUUUUUAUUUUUUGGUUAGGUGAUUGUUGCUUAGGUGAUGGGAAAGCAUCAACGUUGUCCUUGUGAGGGCCAUGAUCAUUCUAACAGCAAUGGAAAAAAGAAGAAACGCCUGCGCAAUCCGAAAAGGGCAUGCCAUUGCUUUGCAGUGUCCUCAAUAUUUAGAGGGAUAGGGAGAUGCAUGUUUGUGACUUGCUUCCCUGUCAUGCGGUGCUUUGGAUUGGAUGAGUGCAGACACCGCCACCACCACCAUCACCACCACCGCAGACAUUUCCACGAGUUUUCAUGAUAUUGGGAUUGACUUUGCAAUAUUUAUUUUGCUGGUGGAGAAGUUUGAAGUUUUGCUGCAUUUUUCUUUUUAUAUUUGGUGUCGGAUCCUACGUGCAAAAACACGAAUUUGGGCGGUAAAUAUGGGAUCAGAUACGCCUCAUCAAUCAAUCACCACUUUGUUUGGUUCUUGUGUAAAUAUACAUGUCAAGGAAGAUCAAGGUUGCAAAAAAACAUCCAGUUUACCUGAUACGGGUGAUUGCACGUACCUGAGAUUUACUUUCAAGGUCUUGUAUCCAAUGAGGAAGUGAAUCAUGCGCGAUGUUUUCCUGGUUAUUAUCCUGCGGAAGAUCAAGGUUGGGGUCCUUGGGGAGAAGAACAUGUUUAGAAAUGUAGAAAAUUUGGGAUUUGGCAUAUGUCAAGUGCUACAAGAGUCCAAAUUCCGUCAAUUUAGAAUUGCUGCAGUUAGGAAUUUUGAUUGUACAUCCUCAUGAUUCUUUAGCUUUUUCUUUGUAAAUUAUUGAACAACAAUGAUUGAAUUUAGACUCCAAUUUUCGUAUGUCGAUUUUUCCUUUGUGUUUGAGGCUGUCGAUGAUUCUGGUAAUAAUAUUCAUUGUAUGAAAUUGCGUUAACAUGUUCAAUACCAUGUUAAAACAAUGAGCAAAGCAAAGCAUCAGAGGAAAAGCAAUGGAA